AUUGAACGCUGGCGGCAUGCUUUACACAUGCCAGUCGAACGGUAACAGGCCGCAAGGUGCUGACGAGUGGCGAACGGGUGAGUAAUGCAUCGGAACGUGCCCAGUCGUUGGGGAUAACUACUCUAAAGAGUAGCUAAUCCCGCAUACGAUCUAUGGUUGAACGCGGGGGACCGUAAGGCCUCGCGCGAUUGGAGCGGCCGAUGUGCGAUUAGGUAGUUGGUGGGGUAAAGGCUCACCAAGCCAACGAUCUGUAGCUGGUCUGAGAGGACGACCAGCCACACGGGGACUGAGACACGGCCCAGACGCCUAAGGGAGGGAGCAGUGGGGAAUUUUGGACAAUGGGCGCGAGCAUGAUCCAGCAAGGCCGCGUGCAGGAAGAAGGCCUUCGGGUUGUAAACUGCUUUUGUACGGAACGAAACGGCUCUGGUUAAUACCAGGGGCGAAUGACGGUACCGUAAGAAUAAGCACCGGCUAACUACGUG
This 482-nucleotide ribosomal RNA is filed under the name uncultured bacterium. Its description in RNAcentral is "partial 16S ribosomal RNA". It matches the Rfam family "Bacterial small subunit ribosomal RNA", at positions 30 to 507 of the family's 1533-position model. The record is from RNAcentral.